GAAGAAUCUCCCAAGAGCUUCAUAAUGUACUUAUUGGGGAUACCGUGGACAUCCAGACACAAAUGAAGUGGUUUCAAGAAAGUGUACCAGAAAUUGCUUUCUUUCAAGAGAUUCCUCAAUAUAUGACUGCUUUGAAUUCCAUAUUGAACAUGAGUGAGAAUUUAACAUACUCUAGCAAACAAGAAAAGUUAAAAGAUGUGUUUAAAAACGUGGACGAGCUCAAAGAAGAUCUCAAA
This 236-nucleotide long non-coding RNA is filed under the name Amazona collaria (yellow-billed parrot). Its description in RNAcentral is "lncRNA (ENSACOG00000013708.1)". The record is from RNAcentral. Lineage: Eukaryota; Metazoa; Chordata; Aves; Psittaciformes; Psittacidae.